RNAcentral lists this long non-coding RNA (209 nucleotides) under Elaeis guineensis (African oil palm). RNAcentral describes it as "long non-coding RNA (EGUI_LNC067398)". Lineage: Eukaryota; Viridiplantae; Streptophyta; Magnoliopsida; Arecales; Arecaceae. The record is from RNAcentral.
CCGCAGGCAUCAGUGCGCCUGGAAAGGUUGUCACCGGAACACCAGAAUCUGAUGACGGGGCGGGCCACUUGGGCCAGCCACCCCAUCCUUCCUGGGAAAGCGAACCCGAGGGUAGAGAGCCCUCAAUCGGACCACGACUCCAGCCCUAGAAGAUCCCUGCCCCCAUUCUGCCAGAGGACCCUCGAGACUCGAAGUCGAGAGGAUAUCCU